AUUUAAAUCUUCUAAAUCUUUGCUUUUAGAGUUAUUAUGUCAUUACCUUAUAAGCAAAAAUAUUAAU
This 67-nucleotide small RNA is filed under the name Arabidopsis thaliana (thale cress). RNAcentral describes it as "ATSL220160". Lineage: Eukaryota; Viridiplantae; Streptophyta; Magnoliopsida; Brassicales; Brassicaceae. The record is from RNAcentral.